Molecule: long non-coding RNA, 149 nt
Organism: Thalassophryne amazonica
Lineage: Eukaryota; Metazoa; Chordata; Actinopteri; Batrachoidiformes; Batrachoididae
Exons: 3
Source: RefSeq, a predicted model, not a curated record
CUAGAUCUUGCAAUAUUGCAAUUUACAUGUAUUAUUUUAUAGCCGUAUCAUUGUUUAAAGCUACAGUGUGCAUGAUUUAGUGUCAUCUAGUGGUGAGAUUGUAGAUUGCGUUAUGCCAUUGUCUGGCAUGAUUUUAGAUCGGAGAGAGC